CCUACGGGAGGCAGCAGUAGGGAAUAUUGGGCAAUGGACGGAAGUCUGACCCAGCCAUGCCGCGUGCAGGAUGAAGGCCUCUGGGUUGUAAACUGCUUUUAUAUAGGAAGCGGUACUAUAUGAAUAAGCACCGGCUAACUCCGUGCCAGCAGCCGCGGUAAUACGGAGGGUGCAAGCGUUGUCCGUAUUUAUUGGGUUUAAAGGGUGCGUAGGCGGCCUUGUAAGUCAGUGGUGAAAGCCUCCAGCUCAACUGGAGAACUGCCAUUGAUACUGCAAGGCUUGAGUACAGACGAGGUUGGCGGAAUUGAUUGUGUAGCGGUGAAAUGCAUAGAUACAAUCAAGAACUCCGAUUGCGUAGGCAGCUAACUAGGCUGUACUGACGCUGAGGCACGAAAGCGUGGGGAGCGAACAGGAUUAGAUACCCUUGUAGUC
RNAcentral lists this ribosomal RNA (432 nucleotides) under uncultured bacterium. RNAcentral's name for it is "partial 16S ribosomal RNA". It matches the Rfam family "Bacterial small subunit ribosomal RNA", at positions 338 to 795 of the family's 1533-position model. The record is from RNAcentral.